Molecule: ribosomal RNA, 329 nt
Filed under: uncultured eukaryote
Lineage: Eukaryota
Description: partial 18S ribosomal RNA
Rfam family: Eukaryotic small subunit ribosomal RNA
Source: RNAcentral
CCCUUAGAUGUUCUGGGCCGCACGCGCGCUACACUGGUACGUUCAACAAGUUUACAACCUUGAUCGAUAGGUCUGGGUAAUCUUUUUAAUGCGUACCGUGCUAGGGAUAGAUUAUUGCAAUUAUUAAUCUUGAACGAGGAAUUCCUAGUAAACGCAAGUCAUCAGCUUGCAUUGAUUACGUCCCUGCCCUUUGUACACACCGCCCGUCGCACCUACUGAUUGAAUGACUCGGUGAAAAAUUGGGACUGUGAGAACAAUCGAUUCAGUUCGAAUGUACUCGUGGAAACUUUUUUUAACCUCGCCAUUUAGAAGAAGGUGAANUCGUAGCA